This 30-nucleotide non-coding RNA is filed under the name Mus musculus (house mouse). Lineage: Eukaryota; Metazoa; Chordata; Mammalia; Rodentia; Muridae. The record is from RNAcentral.
UAAAGUUGGAGCAAAGCAUACUUCCAUUGU